RNAcentral lists this ribosomal RNA (461 nucleotides) under uncultured bacterium. RNAcentral describes it as "bacterial SSU rRNA". It matches the Rfam family "Bacterial small subunit ribosomal RNA", at positions 28 to 489 of the family's 1533-position model. The record is from RNAcentral.
GACGAACGCUGGCGGCGUGCCUAACACAUGCAAGUCAACUUGACUGAAGGAGCAAUCUGACAGUAGAGUGGCGCAAGGGUGCGUAACGCGUAAGUAACUUGCCCCAAGGUAAGGAAUAACGUCGAGAAAUCGGCGCUAAUACCUCAUAAUGCAGCGGAUCCGCAUGGAUAUGUUGUUAAAGGUUUACCGCCUUGGGAUAGGCUUGCGUCUGAUUAGCUAGUUGGUGUGGUAACGGCACACCAAGGCUACGAUCAGUAACUGGUCUGAGAGGAUGAUCAGUCACACUGGAACUGAGACACGGUCCAGACUCCUACGGGAGGCAGCAGUGAGGAAUAUUGGGCAAUGCUCGAAAGAGUGACCCAGCAACGCCGCGUGGAGGAUGAAGGUAUUCUAUAUCGUAAACUCCUGUGAGAGCAGACGAAAGACAGAUUAUAAUCUGGAUGACUGUAUGCUCAGAGGAA